UUGUGUGAGGGGUUGUAGCGGCAUCCUUUAUUUUCUUUCUUUAAGAAAAUAAAGAUAUAGCGUAAAACCCGACCCGAC
RNAcentral lists this small RNA (78 nucleotides) under Flavobacterium sp. FPG59. RNAcentral describes it as "Flavo-1 RNA". It matches the Rfam family "Flavo-1 RNA". RNAcentral also lists the same sequence under 1 other name. Lineage: Bacteria; Pseudomonadati; Bacteroidota; Flavobacteriia; Flavobacteriales; Flavobacteriaceae. The record is from Rfam by way of RNAcentral.